This 430-nucleotide ribosomal RNA is filed under the name uncultured bacterium. RNAcentral describes it as "partial 16S ribosomal RNA". It matches the Rfam family "Bacterial small subunit ribosomal RNA", at positions 29 to 507 of the family's 1533-position model. The record is from RNAcentral.
ACGCACGCUGGCGGCAGGCCUAACACAUGCCAGUCGCGCGCCCUUUCGGGGGAGCGGCGGACGGGUGAGUAACGCGUGGGAAUAUGCCCUUCUCUACGGAAUAGCCUCGGGAAACUGAGAGUAAUACCGUAUACGCCCUUUGGGGGAAAGAUUUAUCGGGGAAGGAUUAGCCCGCGUUGGAUUAGGUAGUUGGUGGGGUAAUGGCCUACCAAGCCGACGAUCCAUAGCUGGUUUGAGAGGAUGAUCAGCCACACUGGGACUGAGACACGGCCCAGACUCCUACGGGAGGCAGCAGUGGGGAAUCUUAGACAAUGGGGGCAACCCUGAUCUAGCCAUGCCGCGUGAGUGAUGAAGGCCUUAGGGUUGUAAAGCUCUUUCAGCUGGGAAGAUAAUGACGGUACCAGCAGAAGAAGCCCCGGCUAACUCCGUG